GAACGCGAAGAACCUUACCUGGUCUUGACAUGUACGGAAUCCUCCAGAGACGGAGGAGUGCCUUCGGGAGCCGUAACACAGGUGCCGCAUGGCUGUCGUCAGCUCGUGUCGUGAGAUGUUGGGUUAAGUCCCGCAACGAGCGCAACCCUUGUCAUUAGUUGCCAUCAUUCAGUUGGGCACUCUAAUGAGACUGCCGGUGACAAGCCGGGGGAAGGUGGGGAUGACGUCAAGUCCUCAUGGCCCUUAUGACCAGGGCUUCACACGUCAUACAAUGGUCGGUACAGAGGGUAGCCAAGCCGCGAGGUGGAGCCAAUCUUACAAAACCGAUCGUAGUCCGGAUUGCACUCUGCAACUCGAGUGCAUGAAGUCGGAAUCGCUAGUAAUCGCAGGUCAGCAUACUGCGGUGAAUACGUUCCCGGGUCUUGUACACACC
RNAcentral lists this ribosomal RNA (433 nucleotides) under uncultured bacterium. Its description in RNAcentral is "bacterial SSU rRNA". It matches the Rfam family "Bacterial small subunit ribosomal RNA", at positions 957 to 1391 of the family's 1533-position model. The record is from RNAcentral.